Molecule: long non-coding RNA, 568 nt
Filed under: Olea europaea (common olive)
Lineage: Eukaryota; Viridiplantae; Streptophyta; Magnoliopsida; Lamiales; Oleaceae
Description: long non-coding RNA (OEUR_LNC001728)
Source: RNAcentral
ACCACCACUUGCGCCACCGGAAGAACCGCUACGAAAACUCAUUCCUGUGGCUGCAAUAGCGGCAGGGGUGCAAUUCGGGUGGGCCCUACAGCUCUCUUUGUUGACUCCGUACGUACAGCUACUGGGCAUUCCCCAUACUUGGGCGGCCUUCAUCUGGUUGUGUGGGCCAAUCUCCGGCUUGUUCGUGCAGCCGGAAUACUGUUGAAUCAGAACCACCACUUGCGCCACCGGAAGAACCGCUACGAAAACUCAUUCCUGUGGCUGCAAUAGCGGCAGGGGUGCAAUUCGGGUGGGCCCUACAGCUCUCUUUGUUGACUCCCUACGUACAGCUACUGGGCAUUCCCCAUACUUGGGCGGCCUUCAUCUGGUUGUGUGGGCCAAUCUCCGGCUUGUUCGUGCAGCCGAUUGUCGGGUACUACAGUGACAAUUGCACCUCCAGAUUUGGGCGUCGCCGUCCCUUUAUAGCCGCCGGUACCGCACUUGUCGCCGUCGCCGUUUUUCUAAUUGGGUUUGCCGCAGAUAUUGGUCGUGCCUCCGGUGACCCACUCGGGAAGACGGCGAAGCCCCG